Molecule: ribosomal RNA, 434 nt
Filed under: Microbacterium sp. R-46041
Lineage: Bacteria; Bacillati; Actinomycetota; Actinomycetes; Micrococcales; Microbacteriaceae
Description: bacterial SSU rRNA
Rfam family: Bacterial small subunit ribosomal RNA
Source: RNAcentral
UCAGGAUGAACGCUGGCGGCGUGCUUAACACAUGCAAGUCGAACGGUGAAGCCCCGCUUGCGGGGUGGAUCAGUGGCGAACGGGUGAGUAACACGUGAGCAACCUGCCCCUGACUCUGGGAUAAGCGCUGGAAACGGCGUCUAAUACUGGAUACGAACCGCAGCCGCAUGGCUCGUGGUUGGAAAGAUUUUUUGGUUGGGGAUGGGCUCGCGGCCUAUCAGCUUGUUGGUGAGGUAAUGGCUCACCAAGGCGUCGACGGGUAGCCGGCCUGAGAGGGUGACCGGCCACACUGGGACUGAGACACGGCCCAGACUCCUACGGGAGGCAGCWGUGGGGAAUAUUGCACAAUGGGCGAAAGCCUGAUGCAGCAACGCCGCGUGAGGGACGACGGCCUUCGGGUUGUAAACCUCUUUUAGCAAGGAAGAAGCGAAAGU